CGUAUGUUUCAGACUAUUGCUAGUUGCUGGCAAAUUCGUUUAUCGAUUAGUUAGUAACCAAGCGUAGUCUUUGCUUGGUUUUCCAAGUAAGCACGUUAGUGCCAAGGGUUUUGGGUCUCUUCUUACCAAAAAGUCUUGGCAUGUGUGGGGCAUAGAUUGCGUUCUGAUUCGAACCGUGAACAAAUUAAAGUGUUUAAAGCGGGCAUUGUACGUUCUUUGAACGUUUUGCUUGAAUAAUUUAGCAUGGGACUCAUUUUCCUUGCGAAAGGAUAAGAAAAAGGAGCCAGGAAGAGGACUCUGGUAUUGCGCGUUUAGAGGUGAAAUUCCGACAUCUUCGCAGGACGAACGGAGGCGUAGGCUGUCAUUGCCCAUCACAUCUCUAUUGAUCAGGAACGAAAGUCAGGGGAUCGAAGAUGAUUAGAUACCGUCGUAGUCCUGACCGUAAACGAUACUAACUCGAGUUUGUAUGUAACAGUUUUUCAAAAAUUGAUACAGAAUCCAAGGGAAACCGUUAAGUCUUUGGGUUCUGGGGGGAGUAUAGUCGCAAGGCCGAAACUUAAAGGAAUUGACGGAAAGACACCACCAGGAGUGGAGUUUGCGGCUUAAUUCGACCCAACGCGGGAAGACUCACCAGGAUAGGACAGAAUGAGGAUUGACAGGUUGAAUAUGGUCCUUUCUUGAUUUUUUGGAAGGUGGUGCAUGGCCGUUCUUAGUUCGUGGAGUGAUCUGUCUACUUAAUUGUGUUAACGAACGAGACCUUAACCUGUUAACUAGGCACUAGUUGAAUUUUAUUCAUGGGUUUCUUACGAAAUCUAGGUCAUUCGGGUUUUACCCGAGCUUCUUAAAGGGACAAUACUGUGUAUUUUAUAUUUUAGCGUAGGGAAGUUAAAGGCAAUAACAGGUCUGUGAUGCCCUGAGAUAUCCUGGGCGGCACGCGUACUACAAUGUCAUUGACAACAGGCUUUCCGCUUCGGCGGGCCUCUACCAAAAUGUAGGGGAAAACGUGUCAAACACUUAUAUGACUGGGAUAGCUGUUUGUAAUUACAUCUUAAACGAGGAAUUCCUAGUAAGCGCAAGUCAUCAUCUUGCAUUGAUUACGUCCCUGUCUUUUGUGCACACCGCCCGUCGCUCCUACCGAUUGGAUAGCAAGGUGAACUUGAUGGACUCUAGCGAGAAAAUUUAUUAAACCUUUCCAUCUCUAGGAAGGAGAAGCCGUAACAAGGU
Molecule: ribosomal RNA, 1224 nt
Filed under: metagenome
Description: bacterial SSU rRNA
Rfam family: Eukaryotic small subunit ribosomal RNA
Source: RNAcentral